GUGGGGAAUAUUGGACAAUGGGGGGAACCCUGAUCCAGCCAUGCCGCGUGUGUGAAGAAGGCCUUUUGGUUGUAAAGCACUUUAAGCGAGGAGGAGGCUACCGAGAUUAAUACUCUUGGAUAGUGGACGUUACUCGCAGAAUAAGCACCGGCUAACUCUGUGCCAGCAGCCGCGGUAAUACAGAGGGUGCAAGCGUUAAUCGGAUUUACUGGGCGUAAAGCGUGCGUAGGCGGCUUUUUAAGUCGGAUGUGAAAUCCCCGAGCUUAACUUGGGAAUUGCAUUCGAUACUGGGAAGCUAGAGUAUGGGAGAGGAUGGUAGAAUUCCAGGUGUAGCGGUGAAAUGCGUAGAGAUCUGGAGGAAUACCGAUGGCGAAGGCAGCCAUCUGGCCUAAUACUGACGCUGAGGCACGAAAGCAUGGGGAGCAAACAGGAUUAGAUACCCUUGUAGUCC
Molecule: ribosomal RNA, 451 nt
Filed under: uncultured bacterium
Lineage: Bacteria
Description: partial 16S ribosomal RNA
Rfam family: Bacterial small subunit ribosomal RNA
Source: RNAcentral